GGAAGUGAGUUACCUGGCUAACACUUCUAUCACUCUAUUGAUGGCCAGGGCUCUUUUGGCUGAUCUUGUUGACAAGGUGAAUCUUCCCUUUAUCCCUCAGCACUACAUAGUGUCUCUCCCAAACCUGCAUGCUCAAAGAGGAUGACCUUCUCUAAGAGAAGCAGAUCAUUUCCUUUGUGAAAGGUAUAUGAGUGGCUGCACUCCCCUGGUAGAACAUCCAGACAAGUUCUUCUUAGGCUCAUUGUGAUUUUCUGUGGGGAAAUAAUAUACCAGCUUAAAAUG
Molecule: small nuclear RNA, 282 nt
Filed under: Chinchilla lanigera (long-tailed chinchilla)
Lineage: Eukaryota; Metazoa; Chordata; Mammalia; Rodentia; Chinchillidae
Description: 7SK RNA (ENSCLAG00000021758.1)
Rfam family: 7SK RNA
About the family: 7SK was discovered as an abundant small nuclear RNA in the mid-70s but a possible function has only recently been suggested.
Source: RNAcentral